UACGGAGGGUGCAAGCGUUGUUCGGAUUUACUGGGCGUAAAGGGCGUGUAGGCGGAAGUGCAAGCUGGGGGUGAAAGGCCUGGGCUCAACCCGGGACGAUCUCCCAGAACUGCACAUCUAGAGAGAGUCAGAGGCAGGUGGAAUUCCUGGUGUAGAGGUGGAAUUCGUAGAGAUCAGGAGGAACACCGGCGGCGAAGGCGGCCUGCUGGGACUCAUCUGACGCUGAGGCGCGAAAGCGUGGGGAGCAAACAGG
RNAcentral lists this ribosomal RNA (253 nucleotides) under uncultured bacterium. RNAcentral describes it as "partial 16S ribosomal RNA". It matches the Rfam family "Bacterial small subunit ribosomal RNA", at positions 524 to 776 of the family's 1533-position model. The record is from RNAcentral.